UAUAUGAAAUCCAGACAAGCAAGAAACAGGGUAAGCAGCAUCCUCAAUGACAAUCAGAGGAGGAUUACUGACCCACAGCAGAUCCAACAGGAAUUCAUUCACUUCUUCCACCAGCUACUAGGCACAUCAGCUGAACAACUUCCAGGAAUAGACGUUAAUAUGGUAAGGGAUGGACCAUGCCUCUCACUGCACCAGCAACAACAUGAAUUCAUUCACUUCUUCCACCAGCUACUAGGCACAACAGCUGGGCAACUUCCAGGAAUAGACAUUAAUGUGGCAAGGGAUGGACCCUGUCUCUCACUGCACCAGCAACAGCAAAUGUUAACCCCAGUACAAGGAAAGAAAUACUCCAAAUAGUGCAGCACCUUCCCAAUGAUAAGGCUCCA
This 386-nucleotide long non-coding RNA is filed under the name Nicotiana benthamiana. RNAcentral describes it as "long non-coding RNA (NBEN_LNC018274)". Lineage: Eukaryota; Viridiplantae; Streptophyta; Magnoliopsida; Solanales; Solanaceae. The record is from RNAcentral.